Molecule: non-coding RNA, 32 nt
Filed under: Rattus norvegicus (Norway rat)
Lineage: Eukaryota; Metazoa; Chordata; Mammalia; Rodentia; Muridae
Source: RNAcentral
UCAAUGACUGGAUCCACCAGUUGGGCACUAUU